Molecule: transfer RNA, 75 nt
Filed under: Mycobacterium sp.
Lineage: Bacteria; Bacillati; Actinomycetota; Actinomycetes; Mycobacteriales; Mycobacteriaceae
Also listed under: 9 other names
Description: tRNA-Val
Rfam family: tRNA
About the family: Transfer RNA (tRNA) molecules are approximately 80 nucleotides in length. Their secondary structure includes four short double-helical elements and three loops (D, anti-codon, and T loops).
Source: RNAcentral
GGGCGCGUAGCUCAGUGGUAGAGCUCUGGUUUUACACACCAGCGGUCGGCGGUUCGAUCCCGUCCGCGCCCACCA